UAAGUCACCCAUUUCUUUAUGCCGGGACACCCGAUCAACCAAAGGAAACUUGAACUGUCGAAGGUCACAAACAUGCGAGAUUGCAGACCCACGUUGCCUCGAUCGCCUGAUGUCAUGUCGGGUCACUGUGCAGUGAGAUUGUACAUGAGCAAACAGCCCUACAGUACUUAAUUUACCCAGGAGUAGACUACUUGUAGUUGAAGGUAGACUGAAGGCCAGACUUAGGCAGGAUGAUUGAACAAAAUCUGCUUGCAGAUGGACUACUGAGGCAAAAAAAUUGGACUCUCAGGAGGUGAACAGAUGUUCAGCAAGAAAUUCGCACAUCAAAUGCUGUGAAUUACACUGAUAUCCCCCCCCCCCAAAAAAAAAAGAACAGAGAGACCAAU
Molecule: long non-coding RNA, 386 nt
Organism: Saccostrea cuccullata (small rock oyster)
Lineage: Eukaryota; Metazoa; Mollusca; Bivalvia; Ostreida; Ostreidae
Exons: 4
Source: RefSeq, a predicted model, not a curated record